RNAcentral lists this ribosomal RNA (216 nucleotides) under Oligella urethralis. RNAcentral's name for it is "partial 16S ribosomal RNA". It matches the Rfam family "Bacterial small subunit ribosomal RNA", at positions 1319 to 1533 of the family's 1533-position model. The record is from RNAcentral. Lineage: Bacteria; Pseudomonadati; Pseudomonadota; Betaproteobacteria; Burkholderiales; Alcaligenaceae.
CAUGAAGUCGGAAUCGCUAGUAAUCGCAGAUCAGAAUGCUGCGGUGAAUACGUUCCCGGGUCUUGUACACACCGCCCGUCACACCAUGGGAGUGGGUUUUACCAGAAGUAGUUAGCCUAACCGCAAGGGGGGCGAUUACCACGGUAGGAUUCAUGACUGGGGUGAAGUCGUAACAAGGUAGCCGUACCGGAAGGUGCGGCUGGAUCACCUCCUUUA